AUCUAAAUCACUCUGGGAGCUUGUUAAAAUAUAGAUUCUGAUUGUGUGAGCUGGGGGCAGGUCCUAAGACCCUGUGUUUCUGACCAUUGCCCAGGUGAUGCUGAG
Molecule: microRNA precursor, 105 nt
Filed under: Marmota monax (woodchuck)
Lineage: Eukaryota; Metazoa; Chordata; Mammalia; Rodentia; Sciuridae
Source: RNAcentral